UACUUACAAAGCCACCAAAUUUGGACGAAAUUGGGGAACCUCUGAAAUCAUUAAAAGAGAGGUCUAGCCUCUUGAGAUGGCCGAGAGAGAAUAAGCUGCUAUUGGAAUGGAUAUUGCCUUGAAGCCCACCAUAACCGAGGUUGAGACCGAUCACAUGACCAGUCAUCUUUUCACAAGUGACUCCACUCCAUGCGCAACAAUCCUUGCCUUUCUGCCAAGAAAUUGCCAAAUUAGAAUAGGAGUAAAGAGAAAAGGAGUUUUUGAAUUGAAGCAAAGCAGAGUUGUCUUCGGGAUGGCAUAAAUGCUUUGAAGAAAGAGAAGAGGAAGAGUUUGAUGAUGAACAAGUAGUAGAGAGCAGGAAGAGGAGGCACAACCAUGACAACCAACCCAUCUUUCUUUAAAAAUCUAAAGUAUAUAGUGAUUGUGAGCAAUUCUAUACUGGAUAUGUUGAUAUUUAUAACAAGCUUAAUGAAUAGUAAUUUAUCAUCUUUAAAGAUAAUCAAGUAUCAUUGUGCCCAUUGUAAUGAUUGGGUGUCCUCUUCACAUAGUUGGUCCUAUUGUCACACCGGUGUAGGUCCCAAUUUGAAGUGCUGAUAAUUGACAUUGAGGGUGAAGGCCUUUUUUUUUUUUUUUUUGGUAAUAUGUUCAUGGAAUUGGAAAAAAUUUGCACCAAGUCUUUGAUUUGUGGCCGGUUUUGGUGAAGUUUGACAAUAAGGUUGUCCCAUUGUCACACAGGUGUAGGUCCCAUUGUUAGCUGCUACAUCAAUUUGAAUUGUUGAUAAUUGACAUUAUUGAGGAUGAAGGCCUAGUCUAUUCAUCUAUUUGGAAAAUUUUUGCCCUAAGUCUUCGAUAUUUGGUUGUUUUUCGUCUUAGUAUGUAACAUUUUUGCGUGUUAAAAUGGGCACCUUAAUUUUCAUUGACUUGCUAAUCUGGGUUUAUAAUUGACCAUCAAAAUCGUUCUUGUCUUCACUAGUAGUCACUAGUGACUUUUGCCCCCUUCUUCACGCUCUCACUAAUUCUUAUCAUCUGCUUCUCCAUGGUUUUGCUUGUCUUUUCACAUAGUUGGGUGUCCUGCAACAUGUACUAAUCAAGUGGUCCAAAUAUGAUUCGAAUUUGCGUAUUGAAGAAGCCGGACCGAGUAUUCAUAAAUCGACCAUCAAAAUCGUUCUUGACUUUUGCCCCUUUAUUCACGCUCUCAUUAAUUCUUCAUGAUUUUACUUGUCUUUGCACUUUCUGUCUCCACUCUUAAGCAUUUGAUAGGCCUUAGGCCUUUAGUCCAAUCUCUAAAUGAACAUUCAGAACAAAUUCAUAAACAAAAAUUUCUUUUAAAUUUUCAUUUAUGAAAAUCCAUUAUAUUCCUCUAGGGCUAAAGAAAAGAAAGGAGUUAAUAAAUAAAGUCAUCAAUAUAAAAAUUAAAACAAUCUUUUAGAUAAAAUCUAAAUAAUAUAGUAAUUAAAUCCUAUAUAAAGCUAGCUACUACAACCUCUCGGCCACAGUUUCUUUGAAUCUUACUCAAUCUUUCACAUUUUCUUUGAUGGUCUCUCUCACAUUAACAUGCUAGAGUUUCUUGUGCCUUUCAUUCAUCAGCUGCCAAAUUCCUAAACAUGUAUAAUUACUAACUUCGAAGAAGAAAUUACAGCACUAAAACAUGUUAAUGUUACAUUAAUUUCAUUACCUCAUUGAACGUUUCCGCAACGUUGUUUGCCAUGAGGUAUGGACCCUACAAGUUGGUUUUCCGCAACGUUAAAUUUUCAGGUGUUGUCAAAUCUGUCAAUUGCCCAGAAAUCUCACCAACAAGCAUGUUUGAAGAGAGAUCUAACCAUUCAAGAUUGCUAAGAUUGCCGAAUGAGGGUGGAAUUGGACCUGUAAGAUCAUUAUGAGACAAGUUAAGUCCCUUCAAUGACGUUUUAGGAAGGUCCAGAGAAAGUUGUUCUACUUCUUUUUGGAUUCGAGUAUUUAUUAACCUUAGUUGUAUAGUUAGGAGUUCAUUAUUAAAGAAAUAUAUACAACAAUUAAUUUGUGUAAGUACCAUGUAAUUUGAAUUUGGAAAGAGUUGGCAAAGCCUACAGCAUAAGAGGAGCAAGGGAAAACAUGAGUCUCAAUAUGGUGACCUCAAAGUAAUCUUCAUUUUAACAUGAGUCUCAAUAUGUCGGCAGACAUUAUACUUGGUGCGUUGGUGAUUGAAUAAUGUUUUGCAUAUUAUUCUUUCUCUUCUUUGGCUAUUUAAUCAGGCAAGUAGGGCAUGAGAAAAGGUGGAACAACUUCAACGUUAUUACUUCCACAUGAAGUGUUUAUCACUCUAGCGUGGGAUUGGGGCAGGGGAGAAAGGGGUAGAGAGAGAUGUCUCUUUUUUCUCUCUUUUAUUUUCUUAAAAAUGAAAAGACUAAAAUACCCUUUAAAAUGGAUGAAAAAUUGAAUUUUGUAAAAUAAAGGUGACAUUUCUCUUAAAUUUUUCUUUAAGAUGACAAAUUGAAACUGAGGUACAAGUUCAGAUGACAUUUCUACAAAAAAAAUCACUAAUGCUAAUCACUAUUAAGAAUUGUGCAAUCACAAAAUAAUUUAAGAAUCAUCUAUUAUAUACAUCAAUUAACAAUUAUAAAAUAGAACUAAUGCUUAUUUACUGUAGUGCCCCCUGAAGCAUAUACGAAGCCAUGUUUGGGGCUUGGAUAAGAAAUAACUUCUGCUAAAAUAAAUAAAUAAUAAUAAUAAAUAAAAAAACCCAAUAGCGAACUCCCACCCACACCCAAUCCGUCAACAACCCCACCCUGAUCACAUAGCCCCCUCUUCUGCUCGUCGUCGGAAACUCUCUUUCUCCCCCUUGAUUUUAGAUCAAGAUCUAUAUUCUUCCCCUGCUCUUCUUCUUUGAAAGAGAGGGAGAUCGAGAAGGAAGCAGAGAAAUCAAGGGAGAGAGAGAGAGGAAGAGACAAAGAAGGGGGACAGAGGUAGAGAAAAGGAGGCUUUGCCGGCGGUGAGAAUGAGAGGGGUUUGCUGUUGGCUCGAUAGGGUGGGUGGGAGUUUUGGUGGCCGUCUGGUUUGGGGUGGUGGGAGGGAGUUUGCUCAUGGGUCUUUAUUUUUUUUCCUUCGGUUAUUUUUAAUUAUUAGAAUAUUGUUAUAAAAAUAACCUGGAAUAUGUAUGAAUAUUGAGCUGCACGUAAAGUAGAUGAGACACAGCAUUUAACGAGGUUCGGCUAUGCCUACGUCCUCGGAGAGCAGCAGCAGUAACUUUUUCACUAUAUAAAAUAAUAGGGCUACAACUUUAGAGUUUACAAUAUGUGUGGCUCACUAAUUUUUCUCUCUUGGAGAAAUUUCUCUCCACUCUAUUUUUCUCUCUACUUACUCACCCUCUUUCUUUCCUUCUCUUCCUUUCUUUCUUUCCUCACUCAUUCUUCUCUUCAUUUUGGUGUGUAUUACAAGUGAAUGAGCAAGCCUAUUUAUAGGCUAAGGUUUUGGUAAAAUACAGGGAAGGGAAGGUUCCUGGAAGAUGCAAGGAAACUUCCUGAAUUGAUAAAUACAGGGAAGGAAAGUUCCUGGAAGAUGCAAGGAAACUUCCUCUGUGGGCUCCACCUUCAAACUUUUACAACAAAUAUUUAAUUAUAUGUUUUAUCUAUGGAGUCAACUUACCAUGUCACCCACUCAAUUAGUUUAAUAAUUUAUGUGUAUAAAAUUACAAAAACACUCAUGCCACGUCAUCAGAUUUAACAGAGUUUUGAAUAGAGUUAGCGGCAGGGCAAAGUAGGUCACCAGACUUUGGUCAAAGGAUAAAAGUGGGUCAUUUUAACUUUAAAGAGGUAAAGUGAAAUUUGACCAAAGUUUUAAGGGACGAUACAGUAAAUAAGCCUUUAUUUUACCUCCGCCUUUACAAUCUUUCUUCUCAUGCGCUUCUGUACGGCUUUGGUUAUCUUUCCACUAUCUGCCCCUACCCUUGAGCAUUUGGUAGGCCUUAGUCCUUUAGUCCAAUCUGUAAACGAACUUUCAGAGAAAAUUCAUAAACGAAAAACAUAAAGAAAAAAAAGAAGGUACCAACUUUUCUUUGUAGUAAAAGAUGGAACAACUGCAACAUUAUGAAUGGCAAUAAAAAAGAAGGUAAAGGGUAUUCGAUCGAUUCACCAGAUUCCAUUUGAUCCAUAAAAUGAUGGGAAACCUGCUACAACAGUACUUUUCUAUGUUUCUUCUUUUUGUUUUUUGUUGGUACAGUACAACGUUUCCCAGACUACAUAGAAUCACAACAUUGGCCUUUUAAUAAUCCAACGUUACUUAUACUUACUUGACGGACCAUGAAACAAUAAGUGAAUACAAAGGUAUUACACUGCAAUGAAAUUGGGACUAUAUCUAUGUUAUCUGUAUUCUUGAAAGUUGACAUGCCCUGCGCUCGUGCAUGCUCCACAGCCUCAUGGUAUUAGGGCAUAAUUUUGGUAUACCUGAGCUAUACGAGUAGUAGGAGCACAAAAUGGAACCAAGAGCGACGAAACACAUAUUACCUCAAGCAUUUUGAUAACAUAGUAGGCAAAACAUGGGAAAAAAGUUCAAACAAAAUUAAUCUUUUUAUCCCCUUUUUUUCUAUUGGAUAGGCAUUGAUUGAAAACUUUACAUACAGACUAAACACAUUAGAAAUGUCCUAUAGUUCUCAAUCAUCUCAAGUCGAGAACAAAUUUAUUUUGAAAUUCAUACACCAGAUUUUGCAUGCACGGAGUAAUAAGCGUGCACUGUUAGUACUAUUCAGGUUCAACAACUAGGAUGCCCUCAGUACAUAGAGAUCUGGAAAAAAAUUUCAAGACAGUGUACUAGAACUUAAAAAUAUAUUGUCUCUUCAACUUGUAUAGGUUUGUAAACUAGGUUGGUCGAUGUAUAGUGAACUAGAAAACUUCUGCACACUGAACUACAUGUUUAGAGUGGAAGUAUCAGAAAUAAUCCCCUAAAUCACAUGCUCUGUAUUUUUAUCAUCUCAACAUGCUAAUUCCAGACUAAAAGCCCAAGGAACAUUUAAUGUUUUCACAUAUUAUGUGUAGUAGUGUUUGUAUGUGCACUAUGGAUAGAAGCCACCAUGAAACCAUAAGCACUACCUUUGUUCCUUUUUCACAAGAUUAAGAGCGAGCCCCUCAACCGGCCCAAUGGCACUGUCCUUAACUGCAAAUAUAGUCUGAUCAAACUCCUCUGGAGCUCCUCAAAGGGUGACAUCUGAGACAAUAUGAUGCAGAAACCAAUGACCAUUAACUGGGAAAAUUGAACCUCAAUCAGAAACAGAGGAGAGCAAAUGUCCAGAAAUAAAAUAGCUUAAAUAUCAGUAACUAUCUUUGUUUUAACAUAUAUUGAAAAUUAAUUCACAUCAAUUAUAAAUCAUGAAAAAGUACAACUCGAAAAGAGCAAAAGCCAAGACCUACGAGGCAAAGUCUCUCAGCACAUAGGUAAAGAGAGCAUGGGAAAAAGGAAAGAUUCAAUAGCCAUUGAGCAGUCUGUGUUGUUGUGAAAGAGAUUAACAUUAGAUUUGUUAGGGAGAUACAGAGGUGUGGCUCUCAGGCGAUUUGAGUCCUAUGUGCUUACAUGUUUGGCGUUAAAAACUCAAAAAACAUAGGAGAACUUGGUUGGGUGUUGAAAAUUGGGAUUUAUUUAAGGGCAUUUUGGAAAAACAAGGAAACCACAUAUUUCCAAAAAAUUGGCCCUACUUGAGGCCAUAGUGAAGCCACUUCUUAAUUAUCCGUCCACACUGAUAACCAGUAAAAUUCAUAAACAGAAAAUUAACAUAAAUCAUCAGAACCACAUACAGCUAAAGCAUCGUAAUGAAGCCCAUCAUAGAUCAGCAGAGCUCUUGUCAAAAGUACCCCAUACGAAAAUGGGCAUAAACAUUCUGAAAUGGAACUGACAAGAUUAAUAUACAUGAGAACUCACUACUAAUGCUAUUUCUUGAACAGUCAAUCUUAUAGACAAGUGGCUACACAAACUAUUUCUUGAACAGUAAAGGUGCAAAAAGUUUGUCAAAUAUAUCAACAAUGUGCAAUACUGUCAAAGAAGACAUAAGUCAGUAUUGUAUAAUUAAGGUUCGGAUACUUAGUUGGCUAUCAGAAAUAACCAAAAUUUUCACAAGAAAAGCUUUUCAUUGUGCAUUUUGUUUCAUAACCAAUAUUCAUAUACGUAGGAAAAGGAAAGUUUAUUUAUUUUUAACAAACCUCCCCACUUCUCAGAGUCAAGAAUCCAAGAACAAUACUCUUCAUUUGGUUUACCGAGAAAUGCUUCAGAAUACUUAGUUGGAUCACUUGCUACUGUUGCUGCUAUAACCUUCACAUCAUGGAUGACCACAAAAUGAUCAGGAAGUAAGUAUCGCACUUAUGCAUGCUUAAUACAAACAUGGAGCUAUAUAUGCACAAAAACUGACCUUAAAUGACUGGUGUACUUAUAAUCCCUGAAUGUCCAUAUACCUGUCUCAACUCAGGAGCUUUUUUCUUGUCAUGGUCGAUAGCAUACCUACAAAUGAAGGGUGACUAUUGAAUAGAAAAAUUGGCCUUAAAUGACGCAGCUCAGUUCAUUGCAAUAGACAAUGGAUAGAAUAGAAGGUUGUAUUGGAGCUUACCCAACCGCAUUGAAGAGGCAACUAUUGUCUGAGGGAAUAGCCCUUCUUACUACAAUACCUUCCAUAUUAUAAAUAUUUAUACCUGAAACAUUUUAACAAUUUGAAUGUUUCAAACGAUGAUGGUUUUAUAAUAGACAAGCACAAGCCAAAGAGCUGAGAGAAGGAAACACAUGAAUAUUUAAUUCAAAAAUAUGGACCCAAAAAGCAUUGAACUGCAUAGAAGUGGUUUGUGUGAAGAAGGAACCUUUUGUGAUUACAAUGGAAAGGAGAACAAAGAUUAUUAAGAUACAAAAAAAGAUAGGAGUCCAAUCAAAAGUAAACAUCUACAGAUAAAGAAAAGAAUUACACAUAAAAACUUCCUUAAGACUGAAUCCUAAAGUUACAGAAGUAUGAGACAAUACGAAAAGAAGGCUGAGGACUCAAACAAAACCCAACAUCACAGACUCAGCAGCAGAGCCAAAUACCAACCAGAACCAGAUUCAGUUACUGGUAGCAGCAGGCCAUGAUUGAAAACAUUCAAAGAAAAGGAACAAAUAUAAUAUAGUGUACAGAAAUGAAAUUUUACAAAUUUUUAUCAGGAAUGAAUCUGAAAUUAAUGAAAAAAAAAGGAACUUUAAAGAAUCCGUACUCUUAUCAGUUCUUUAAGGUGCCAAUAAAUGAACCUAAUAUGUCAAAAGCCUACCCAGAAAACCACCCAGUAAUGUGCACCCAUAAACAAAACACAUUAUCGAAAUAAAUCCUCAAAUAAUUCCACAAAGGAAACCAAACUUCAGACUUAGAAACCCAAUACCAAAGCUAUAAAACAAACCCAGAGCUGAAUUUGAAACCACCCAAAAGCAUAAAUUGAAAAAGAUGACAAAUAAAUAAUGUGGCAAUGAAAUUUCCAGAUCCAGUAAAAGUAUUCGUACCACGAGCAGCAUAUUCAAAUAGACAUGAUACAAUUUGGAAGAGAAGAGGAAAACAGAUAAGAAAAAGAACUCACUCUGUUUCUUCCUUUAUGGUCUAUAAGGUAAUGUUAGUUGAGCAAAAACUUUGACGAGGAGGUGGUGGUCGCCUGCCUGGUUUUGGCUAUCGCUUCUGUGUUUGGAUGUCGUCUUCCUUUUCUUUUUUUUCCCUUCUUUUUAUCAUUGGGGAGGGUGGAGUUACAAGUUCAAGCAUUAAUGUGGGGUCCAUGGUCUAUCUUGUGUUACGGCUUUCUGCAACUUUCUCUGUUACACUCGAUCCUCUCGGCAGUGUCUUUCACCCAAUCAUUCUAUUUACGAUAACGUAUCAUGUUAUGGGUGAUUAGAUUAUUACAAUGACUAAAAUUAAGUAAAAUACGAGAAAAUGUGUAGAUUACGUUAGAUUAUUAUUAUGACUAAAAUUAAGCGAAAUACAAGAAAAUAAAUAGAUUAUAAAUAUAGAGGAUCGGGAUCAAUGUCACAUUGGUUCUUCUGUUUGACCUCUUUGGAAAAUUUAGUUCGUGUUUUUCAAUUUACUUAUUGUAUUUAUAGUUUUUUUUUAUUGAUUUAAAAAAUAUUCAUUAACCUGUAAUAGAAAAGUUAACAGAAAAUUAUAAAAUAAAAAAAGAACAUAAUUAAUUAAAAAGUAUUAAAAAGUAAAAGGGAGUGUAAGUAGAGAGAAAAUGAGUGGGAAAAUCAACUCCCAAUAUAUACAACUAAUAAAAUACUUUUGACAUUUUACCCCAUACCCAGUACAAAUAUACAUUUAAUUAAGAGUGCUGCUAUUUUCACCAUUUUUUUCUAUUUCCUUAGAAAUUAUUGUAAAAUUUCUCCAAUUUCCCCACCCACAUCACCUUUCCACCCACCAUGUAACUUUGAAAAAAUACAAUCUUAUAUUUCCACCCACCAUUAUUCCUAAAAUACCUUUUAAUUAUUAAUUCAAACAAAUUCUCUUUCAUUUGAUUUUUCUCAUAAUUAAAACAUGGGAGUUAUAUUUUCUUUACGUUCUAUUCUUUUGAUUGAUUUUUCUUGUGUGUUUUGUCACUGUAGAGUGAAUUUUUUUUUUUCCUGUAUUCAUUUAACUGUCGAAUAAUUUUUUUAGUGGUUGGGUUUGUUUAAGUUGAGUUUGAUUAUAGGUUUAAAUGAUGCAAAAUCAAAAUAACUUGUUACAAUAAUAGGUACAUGUGUGAACCGAAGUGUCUAUGGUUGUUCUAUAUUGUCUUGUUCAUAUUUGCGGGAUUGAACAUUAGGGAUUGCCAAGAACUGUUAAUCAUAUGGGAAAGAGAAGAAAUACUUUUUUAUUGGGAAAAGACAUGGCUUCAUUAAUAUGAAAAAAAGAGCUGCAGUUGGUCUGUUAAGGAAUUUUUUUUUUCUUUUUAAAUUCUUAUGAAAUUGAGUUUUUAUAGCCUUAACUCUUAAAAAGUCACUUUACAAAGGGGUAAAUUUGUUUAUAAAAUUUUAAAGAUAAAGUAAGUGGGGAAAUAAGACAACAGAUGGAAAUAACAUCACUCCUAAUUAAUAGAACUAAUAUGUUAAUUCAAUAAUCAUUCAUAUAAAAUUAAUUAAAUAUAUUACUUUAAUUGUCGUGUUCUUGUCUUAUCGUAUUCUAGUUUUUUGAUAUUUGACGUAUCAUACUUUAUCAUAUCAACAUACCCGUAUUCAUAUCCGUACAACAUAGGUUGAGUGUGAGUUAAUUGAUUUUUUUAAAGUUUUUUAUGGAUGUCAGGAAGACGACUGCAUAAUCAAUCAAGUUGGGAGACCUGGUGCUAAAAGAUUGUAUGUUCUUGCAAAGUUCUUACCAAGGUGAGUUAUACUGUGAAAACUCACUUCCAGAUCUUGAGAGAACCACACUCAAAUGCAUGAUAAUAUGCAAAUUACCUUAGCAUAUAGAGAGUACCUUACAAUUACCUUCUGGCUAGCGGAAAGCCAGUCAAGCAAGGAGAAACUCAAUGGCGAAUCAAGCAAGGAGGAGCUUAAUGACAGUUAAUGGUGAAUUGCAAUAUCCUUGUUAAAAAGGUUGACCACUUGCAAUACCAGAGAAAACUUACUCUCUCGAAAGCAUGAUACCUAAGGAAAGGAGAGAAUUGAUUGCUUCUAGUUCUAAUUCCAUAGGUACCAGAGAAGUGUCUCCACAUGAAAAUAUUGGAUACAACCGAUUUCAUGUUGCAAGAGGUAAUUUUUAAUACUAGUUUUAAAUUGGAUUGAUAUCUCCUUUCCUCUUUUUUUUUCUUUUUUUUUUUCAAUACAAGCUCUUUAUAUCUAAUUUGCUUUUUAAAAUUUCUUAUUGUAGAUAAGUACUAUCUUGUGAAUGCGGGUUAUACUAAUGGACCGGGGUUUUUAGCACCCACUACUACAAAAAGUGAAAAAGACGACCAGAAAACAACGACGGUCUAAGUGAAAACCGUCGUGGUUUUUAAAAAGACGACGGUUCUAAAAACACCGUCGUGUAAUACCACCUUAGACAACUAAAAAUGGAGAUUCAAAUGGCUGUUCAAAAACAACGACGUACCUAAUUAAACAACCGACGUCUAUUUGAAAAAAAUUUCCGCAGUGUAAAAUCAAAGCCAACAAAGAACGGCAGAAGUUAUGAAUCGACCGACGUAGAAAGUAAAGACGACGAUUUCAAUAAAAGCCGCCGUUUUUACUCAUAAAAUAACACGACGAGGUUUUCGUAUAAGACGCCGUAUAAUUACAAACAAAUCCACGGCUUUAAAAUACAAAAUAUCGCCGUAUUAAAUUAAUGUACAACGACGGAAAAUAUAAAUAUAUCGACGUCAUUCUUGUAUAGUUCUACGACGUUAUCUUUAAAUCGUACUAUAAAAUUUAACGUCGUAUUUAUUCAUUUUAUACGUCGUACCUUUAAUUUAAACCGUCGUCUUAAUAAGAAUUUUUGUUAACAAUUUUUUCCUUUAUUUUCUUAUCCUACGUCGGUAGAUCUACUUAAUGACAAGAAUUGAAAUCUGUCAUCCAAAAAAAAAACUUUACAUAUUCCAGAACAUUAAUUUCCUUCAUUUUAAAUUUCCUCCGGAAAAAAAACUCUAUUUAUAACGCACUGUAAUUGAAAAAUAAACUGAAAGGUCACGGGAAAAAAAAUUCUAUUCAUAAUUUAAAAAUUCAAAUCCACGUCGGUUAUAUUAAACCUAACGACGUUAAAUGAAAAGAUUCCACGUCGCAAAACAAAUAUUGCGUCGUGUUAGUUUAGGGUUUCUUUAACAGUUUCAGUUUCUUUAACAGUUUGGUCCUUUAUCUUUCUGCAGGACUUGUAUAGUUCAAAGCAUUGACAAUGUCUUCAUCAUAUCUCCCAGCAACUACUGAUUCGAUUGCUCUACGGAUAAAGGAAAUGGAGCAUUCAGGUGCAAACUAGCACAAGCAAUGGCCUACUGAAGCUGGAAACUACUUGUUUGUUCCACUCGGACCCAGAGCAGAGCAACCUGCUAAGCUUUAACAUAAUGCGCGAGGAUGAUCGUGAAAAAUGAAAUGGAGCAUUCAAUUGCUUUAGAGGCCAUCUGAAGCCAUUUCUAUUCUUUAUCGCAUUCUUCUGAAGCUCUACGGAUAAAGGAAGAGGCUAUCACAAAUCUGACGGAUCUUCUUAGCCAAGAAAAUCAAGCAGAGGAUCAGGCACAUCUGAUCUUCAGAUUUCCCUGAGAAGCGAACUUUCCUUCGACAGCGAGUGGAGGCCAGGCUUGCAUCUCUUUUGAUGGAAAGCAAGGAGUAUUCAGAAGCACUAAGUGUCCUGUCAGGCUUGAUCAAGGAAGUGAGAAGGCUAGUUGACAAGCUUCUUCUUGUGGACAUAGAUUUGAUGCGAGUAAGCUCAAUUUCUCUUUGAGUAAGCCUAAAUUAUUGUCUUUGAGAUGUGAGAGACAGUGUCUCUGAGAGAGGAAGAACUUGGAACCUUAAAUGUAAACCGAAAAUGAAUGAAAGCGACAAAUUUAAAAUUAAAAUUCCGAAACAUAAUAGAAUUUCACCUAAAAAUAAAAACAAGUACAACACCAUACGUAUGCCCGGAAUAAUUCGAACCCUUCAUUGAAGCCAUGGCCAUAAUUUUCUUCCAUUUUUACUUUUACUUUUACUUCAUUGGAUUCCUUUAUCCUCAUUCAAUAAUGUUUUGAACUUUUGCCCACCUCCACUUGUAUUCUUUAAUUAUUUUCUAAACCCCUUCAUUCCCUAUUGUCUUGUUUCAAUCAUGUUCUGAACCAUUGCUCAACUUUGUCCAUCUCACUUUAUUGGAUUCCCUUAUCUUUCCUUAUCUUUUCCUAUCUUCAUUCAAUUAUUUUCUGAACCAUUGCUCAUUUUUGUUCAUCUCACUUUAUUGGAUUCCCUUAUCUUUCCCUAUCUUUUCCUAUCUUGAUUCAAUUAUUUUCAAACAUGUAGGUCAUCUCAUUCUCUUGUCUAUUUAAGAAGUGUUAUUCUACUAAAUUGACCACACAAUCUCCUUCAAUUCUCCUUCUUACAAUGAAUUCACGUGGGAAGCCUAUACAAAAUUUCUUCAAUGGUGAUUCUGAUGAUGAUGACCUUCAUCAACAGAGGGUUGCAAUGGCUGUUCGACACCAUAUGUUUUUGCUGCACCAAUAUGCUCAACAAUCCAAACAUGAUGGUUCUGUUGCAGGCCGUGAAUACAAGAAUCGGAAGAGAGAAAAAUAUCAUAAGAGUCUCAUGGAGGACUACUUCUGUGAAAGACCACUUAAUCCCCCAGUGGACUAUCACAGGCCGUUCCGCAUGAAAAGAGAGCUUUUCAAUCGCAUCUUGAAUGAUGUUGUUGCACAUGAGCCAUACUUUAUCCAGAAGAUAGACACUUGUGGACGACAAAGUCUAUCCCCAUAGCAGAAGCCAACAACUGUUUUUCGAAUGCUCGUAUAUGGAUGCUCGGCAGACUCCACCGAUGAGUACUGUAGAUUGGGUGAAUCUACAGCCCUUGAAUAUUUGCGAAAGUUUUGUUCCGUUAUUGAAGCUGUGUAUGGUCAGUGAUACAUCCGUUCCCCAAAUCCGGUCGAUCUUUACAGGCUCUUGCACAAGGCUAGUCACAGAGGAUUCCCAAGCAUGUUAGGUAGUCUUGACUACAUGCAUUGGGAAUAGAAUAACUGCCCCACUGCUUGGGCAGGCCAGUUUACCGGCUACAAGCAUAAGCCAACUGUCGUUCUAAAGGCAGUGGCCUCAUAUGACACUUGGAUAUGGCAUGCCUUUUUUGGAGUUGCCGGAUCGAACAAUGAUAUCAACAUCCUAACUCGUUCCCCGUUGUUCAAUGAUGUAGUCAAUAGGAAUGAAUACAAUCUGGGUUAUUACUUGGCUGAUGGUAUCUACCCUCGUUGGGCUACAUUGGUUAAGACGAUUUCCCAACUGGAUACUCCAAAAAAAAAGACUAUUUGCCCAAAAAUAAGAGGCUUAUAGGUAGGAUGUAGAGCCUUCGGAAUACUUCAGGCUCAAUGGGCAAUUGUUAGGGGACCUACACGUAUGUGGCGCAAAGAGGAACUUCAUUCAAUCAUGAUGACGUGCAUAAUAUUGCACAACAUGAUUGUUGAGGAUGAGUAUGAUGAUCUAGAUGUAGAAUUUGAUGACGAAGAAAAUUGUCCACGAACAUAUAGAAGAGCAAGAGCAAGACUGGCUUAUGAGCUUGAGCCAACUAUCACAUACGAUAUAAACCGAGACAGACAAACUAUCUCAGACUACUUGGUCUGUCAUAAUAGACUUCAUGCUUCGUAAGUGCAUCACAAUCUAAGAAAUGAUUUGAUCAACCACAUUUGGAGAUGUGAAGGAGAGGGGCAAUGAGCUAUGUUGUGUGUUUAAAUUAUGUUGUGUGUUUAAAUUAUGUAAGUGUGUUUAAAUAAUCUAAGCGUGUUUAAAUUAUGUUGUGUGUUUAAAUUAUGAAUUAUAUGGUUUAUCAUUGAAUUUAAAAAAAGACUAAUCAUAGAAAAAUAAACAACAAUCAUUAUAAAAAAAAAAAAAAAAAAAGAUAAACGAUAAUUAUAAAUAAAGAUAAACAACAAUUACAAAUAAAGAUAAACGAUAAAAAUAAAGAUAAACAAGAAUUGCAAAUAAAGAUAAACGACAAUUAUAAAUAAAGAUAAACAACAAUUACAAAUAAACGUAAAUUAAUAACCGCUAUGUGGAGGGCUUAGAUAAUAGUCUCCAGAGUUGUCUUCUGGAUUGUAGGGGGAACUUGUAUUCAUCUGGGCCUCAAUAAUUUCGUCUUUAUUAUUCCCCCAAUACUUUUUCUUUCUUGGAGUAAAUUUGGAUAGGCCCAUGGACAUUAUCCUUUGUUCAUUGGCCUCCUUAUUUUGUUGGAUUUGAUAUGCAUGUUGCUCUUAUAGGAGCUCUAACUUUCGCCUCCUAUCCUCUUUUGCCUCAUUUCCUUGUUGAACCAAUUUAGACAAGAACUUACCACUUUAGUUGAGAUAACUUUCAACACCUUUCCCUUUCUUUUUUUCAUCCUUUUGUUUAUCUCUUCCCAACGGCCUUGGAGUGGGCAUGACCACAUCAUCUUCAUCUUCCUCCAAAUUGACUGUAUUGCCACUAUGAGAAGAAUCUUUGAAUGUUUGUGUAGGAGAUUCACAUAGGUCGUUCCAUUUUGGGCAAUCUUUUAAGAUUUGCCAAGCAUGAUACAACUUGAAAGGCAUAUUCGGAGGUUUAUUAUCAUUCAAGAAAAGUAUUUUUGCAUUCAUAUCCUACCCAUGAAAUAAAACAAAAAUCAAGUUAAUAAUUGAAAACAAUUAAAAUUAUAAAUUUAAGCAUUGAAAAAAAAUGGGUACUCACCACAUCUUCAAGAUUGGAGCCACUCAUAUGCCUUGCAUUAGCCUUUGUUAUACAUGCCUUCCAAAGAGAACAUUGUUGGUUGAUGAUCUUGAACAGAGAAACAAUAGCUUGCGGUGAUCGUACCCCGGCUCCGCUCAUGCCCGGAUCAUUUUCCAAAAACUUUUGGUACAUACGCAACCAAAAUGAGUCGUUUGAUUGAUUCGUGUCAAUAGACCCAUCUUCAAAGACAAAAACCCACCCUUUGCACAAUGCCUCAUCUUCUUGUGGUUUCCAAUUCACACCUCUUUGGGGUUUGGGGGCCAUUCUCAAUAAGAAUGAAUGUAGAAUGAAAAAUUAUAACAAAGGGAGAAAGGAAAACAAAAAAGAUUUUUGGUGGAUUAUUUACCAAAUGAAUGGCUAUUUAUAGAGUUUGGAAUAAGUUUUCGGGUUGGAUCUGACUUAGAUUAAUUAUAAAUAUUAUUUUGACCGUUUGAUUUAAAUUUGAGCCAUUGGAUGUGAAAUUUUACCGUUGGGAUUGCCUAAAAUGAAUCAUAAUCGUUGAUUUUAUAGCUGUUGGAAUAUAUAAAAAAAAAAAAAAAACAGCAUAUCAGAUUAUUUGAAAAAGUAGCCGUUGGCCAUCAUUAAAUGAAAUGGGAAUCUGCUUUUUCGCAUUUGUCAGCAGGCCCAGCCAAUUUGGCCAUCACGUGGGCUUCCAGCCGAAAUAUAAAAAAAACAAAAUUAAAGCAUAUUUUGGGCCCACAAAAUUAUCAGUCCAUGCAGAAAUCAGACUAGAAUUCCACCCCAAUUUUGAGAUUUCUCAAAUUUUCACCCCCAAAAAUACAUUGGAGAAGAUUUUUGGACUCAAAACUCAAAAUUUGAGUUUCCACCCCUUGGGUUGGAGAUGGUCUAAGGACGUCACCUAUGCUGACGGAGUUUUCUAUUGUGUUUUUAUGUAAGGUAUGUCGUUAAUGGUGGGUAAGUUGGAUGUAGACUUUAAGAAUGGGUGGAUUGUUCAAUCUCCUUAGGGAUACAAUCUUAUCCAAUAUUCUCUUACCUGGUUGAGUCUGAUGGGAAACUCUUAUUGGCACUUUAUCAUCGCGAUCAUGUCGAAGGUUAUUGGUAUAUUUACCAACUUGAUUAUGUAAGUGUAUGCAUUUUGAGUUUUUCUUUUGGCUUCUCUUGACAAUAUUGUAAGAGGACAUAUAUUGUAAUCACCCAAACUCAAGUUUAGUUUAAGAAUAGUUUCUCUAAGUGUUCUUAUCUGGCUGCUAUCUUAUGGAAGAUCAAUCAUAUUGACAAAGGUAAUUUGUGCAUUGCAUCAUAUUGCAUUCAUUAGAUUUCUUAAGAUUAUGACUAGUCAUCUUGUUUUCGUAUGACUAGUCAUUUUUUGCAUCAGUAAGUUUUCCAGUUGGAUCCUACCAAACCUUUUUGUCUUAUUCUACGAAUUUUCUCAGUUGCCAUGUGUACUAUUCUGACCUGGGAAUUUUUUGGUAAAAGCCAAAUGAUUCCUCAUUUGGUAGGGGUCAAUUUUGAGGUGAGGUUUUGAAAAGGUUUCUCUAUUCUUUUGCUUCUUCUUCUUCCUUAAGAGAAAACCACCAUUUUCAUCUAUGAGUUUUCUAAAUUAAUUUUCAAAAAUUGCUUUUGAAAUAUUAAAUCUGCAUCUAUUUAGAACAAACACAUUCUCUAUACAUCUAUGUCAGAUUCAAGAUUGGUUUCUUCAAGAGUAUGGUUUCUUGAUGAAAUUGGUAUUUUCUCCUUGAAUUCAAAUUGUUGGUUUCUGUUCGAGUUUGAGCUGGCUAGUUGGUGCCAUGGGAUGAAAAAGCUGAAGAAUGAGCUGUUAUUGCCAUACAGGACUAAACUACUAGCUUUGCUAAGUUGGAGAAAAAGAUUGCACAAAGGAGGUAUAGCUUAUCUUCCUAAAUAGAUCUAGGAUCUCUUGAGCUUGCUUGUAUUUGUUUGUAAGAUAUGACUUUAAUCAAAAUAGGGAGAAACUCUAUAACUUAUUUUUUAGAUAAAUAAUAUUUGUCAAAGUUUGUUAGAACCUCAUUAGCAAGUUCAAUUGUCACAUUCCCAUUUUUCCUUUAUCCACCCUGUCGUUUACUUUUAAUUUUUAGAACUAAAAAUUUGCAAAACAAGAUUUUAAUCUGAUACUAUACUCCUUCAAUACAAGAUUUUAAGUUAGAGAAAAGAAAAGGGUGAGUUGAGGAUUAGAGAGUUAGCCAAAGAGUGGGAGUUAGGUGGUGGUUCUACAAUUUGGGUAUCCAACAUAUUUAAUGUUUAUUUUAUUUUUUUUAUACAGAUGAGUAUGACUGUUAUUUUCUUAAAAAAUAAAAAGAAAAAUUUUAUGUUGAAGCAUAACAUUGAAUAAAACGUCCCCACUCGAACUUCAUGGAAAAUGUAUUAAGGGUAGGAAAAAAAAAUUAUCUUAGCCAGAAAAGAAUCUUUUCCAUGACUGCCAAGGGAGAAAUCCACCUGGAAAAAAAAUUUACGAAGAAUGUGAAUUAACUUGACCAAAAAAAAAAAAAAAAAACCGAGGGGUUCAAUCCAGAAAAAUUAUAAAUAAUAAUGAGAAACAGAUUUUUUCAGCCCUUUGAAAGCAUAUGAUCUGAACACAUACCACAUCCAGGACAUUUGACGUAGUCUUCUUUGGUCAAAACAAGCCCUGACCCUCCACAUACCUCACAUCUUUUCUGUGCUAUCUAAUAUAUAUAUAUGCAUAAUCAUCAAUACCAUAUAUUAUCCCUGACAAAAAUAAAUGAUUAAUUAUGAACUCUGGAAAACUUACUAUUCUUUUGCUGAAUUCAAUCCCAGCCACCACAAAAGGUGUAACUCCAGCUGCGCAUGCACAAAAAACAAAAAAGAAAAAGAAAAAAGAAAUUCAAAAUUCAAUAAUUCAGAAAGAAUUUACAGUAGUUAUAUAAUUUAAGAGUGAAAAUAUACCUAUGGCUCCAACAACAAUUUGCCAAGUGAUGGCAACCGGGGUUGGAUCCACUACAACCGGAACAUGAUGAAUUGCUGCAACCCUCCAAGCUUUUGUGCUUGGUUUUUUCAUAGCUAGCUGCUGGUUCUGGUUGCAUGGUUUUCUGGUAAAGCUUGCAUGUUUUGAGAUGUGAAGGCUUCUUCCUAAGAGAGUGUUGUUGGAGGAAGUUGGAGUUGCCAUUUGUGUGAAGGAAGAGACUGAGGCUUCCAUAUUUGGUCGUGUGAUGAGUUGAGAGAGAGAGAGAGAGAGGGUAUCGGCUGAAUUGAAAGUCACCACAGCUUCAUAUUGGGCCACGUUGCAUCUCCGCACUCACAUACUCAUUAGACAAUGUGGAUCACACAUAUAUAUUUGCGAAUGCUUGUGCCUUUUUCCCUCAUUUUUGCCCAAAAAAAGAUUCCCUCAAUGUCAUUUCAAUUUUGAUAAUUAUAAUCUUUUAGUUUUAUAAUUUUAGCAAUUAAGUCCCAAUUAAGGGUAAGCAUUCGUUUUUCUCCAUAACAUAUUUCACAGAUUUAUUACCGAGAUUUGUUUUGAGUAAAUUAAAGACUUCAAUUAUAUGAAAGUAACGAGUUGAGGACUUAUGGUGUUCCAUUAGAGAGGACAAGAUAUCCCACAGAUAUUCCCAUUACCACCCCAGAUGCAUACCCCAUCAACACUACCUUCUAAUCAAAACCAUUCCCAUGCUCCAAAUCAUCCUCUUGUUGGAAUGACGAUGGCGGUGAUUGAUGUGCAUUGCAUGUUUUAGAAAGUGGCAAUCCACAUAAUCCGGUAUUCCCACUAUAUGAAUCAUUUUCAAAUGUAUCAAAUUGCUUGCCAUGAGGUAUGGGCCCCCAUAAGUUGAUUUUUUGAAACAUUGAACUUUGAUAGUGACGUCAAAUUUGCCAGUUGCUCCGGAAUAUCACCAACAAGUUUGUUUGAAGACAGAUCUAACCAUUUAAGAUUGCACAUAUCGCCAAAUGAUGGUGGAAUUGUACCUGCAAGCUCAUUAUGAGAAAAUUUAAGCCCCUUCAAUGAUUUAAGCUUACUAAUUACACUUGAAAUCUCUCAUCUGAAAGUGUUGUUUGAGAAAUCAAUAAUUGUGAAGAACGUCAGGAUCUUCUCCAUUUCAAUUUCGAAGCCUUUAAUUGUCACUACCACAGUAUCCUGAUAGUAGCGCCCUCCCAUAUAUUUCAGUCCAUGUUCUUGCGAGUUUAUCAUGACUGUCAAAUGUUCAAAAUAUUUUAUUGGCAAGAGACCGCUAAACCGAUUGUAGGAUAAGUCCAUGAUACACAAUUUUUGGAAUGGAAAGUUAGUUUUCGGAAUGCCUAUUUCACCAUAGAAUUUGUUAGACCUCAAGAUAAGAACCGGCAACUUCGGAAGAGAUUCCAGCCAAUUUGGCAUAUUUCACAGAUUUAUUACCGAGAUUUGUUUUGAGUAAAUUAAAGACUUCAAUUAUAUGAAAGUAACGAGUUGAAGACUUAUGGUUCAUUUUUUUGAAGUUUGUUCAAUUUACUGUCAAAACAUGUCACCCACACAGUCACUUGUUGGGGAUUAAUUUUUGUAUUUUUUCUUUUUAAAACUUUUGAAUUGUUCAAAAAUGUCACAUGUUCUCUACAUAGUCUCUCUCUCUCUCUCUCUCUCUCAAAUAGAGUCUCUCCAACUCCAUCCAUUUAAUGCAAAUUUUUUUAUAUCAAAAAUUCCAAUAUGUAAUACUUGAGAAGUUGAUAUUUAUAACAAGCUUCGUUGUCCUUCAUUUAAAAUUUCCACUGUGGUAGGAUGGCAAGUACUUGAGCUUGUUUCCUGCAAAAUCAACAAGCAUCUUUUGACAUGGAGGGUGAAGCAUCUAUAUUGUCACAUGGGUGUAGGUCCCAGUGUUAGCUAGCUAGGAAAUUCUUGUAACUAGUUACCAUUUUUAGUAUGGCAAGUACAUGAUGAGUUUGUUUUAUGGAAAAUCAGCAAGCAAGGAAGCAUCUAUAUUGUCACAUGGGUGUAACUAGGAAAUUAUUGUAACUAGUUACUAGGCUUUGAUUUGAUAUUUGAUAUUUGGUCUUUGGUCUUUGGUCUUGGUAGGAAAUUAUAAUUUCUGUGUGUUCAAAUGGUUUUCACGUUUUGCCUCCAAUUCCUACUAGUCAAAACUUGUCUAAAUAUGAUUCACAUUCUGUGUGUGGACCAAAUAUGCAAAAAAUGUUUGGAUAAGGAGAAAAAAUUAAAUUUUGGAUUUUAUGCAUGCUAUUUAGUGAUUUAAUUCUUUUCAUUUCCUUGUAUUUUUUGGAAUGAGAACAUUUUUAGGAGUAUAUAACAUAGUUGAGCCAAAUUGCGUGUACUGAUUGAAUUGAUUUGUCAAUUGUGUUUGACAAAUUACAAGAUGCACGAGCAAUUAAUCUACUUUAACAAAAGUAGGAUCCUCUUUUUAAAUUCAUGCAUAUUUAUUGCGCUUUGACAUAAUACAAUAUUCAUAAAAAAAUGAUAUACAAUAUGAAAAUACAUAAACUUUUGGAACGGUUAAUUCUUCAAGCACGUCGUCAUGUGAUUUCAACAGUUCUAUGACGUUGCUUUCUUCCUACCAUUUUAACAAGCUAAUCUGGUGUUCCAUUAGAGAGGACAAGAUAUCCCACAGAUAUUCCCAUUACCACCCCAGAUGCAUACCCCAUCAACACUACCUUCCAAUCAAAACCAUUCCCAUGCUCCAAAUCAUCCUCUUGUUGGAAUGAUGAUGGCGGUGAUUGAUGUGCAUUGCAUGUUUUAGAAAGUGGCAAUCCACACAAUCCGGUAUUCCCACUAUAUGAAUCAUUUUCAAAUGUAUCAAAUUGCUUGCGAUGAGGUAUGGGCCCCACAAGUUGAUUUUUUGAAACAUUGAACUUUGAUAGUGAUGUCAAAUUUGCCAAUUGCUCCGGAAUAUCACCAACAAGUUUGUUUGAAGACAGAUCUAACCAUUCAAGAUUGCACAUAUUGCCAAAUGAUGGUGGAAUUGUACCUGUAAGCUCAUUAUGAGAAAAUUUAAGCCCCUUCAAUAAUUUAAGCUUACUGAUUGCAUUUGGAAUCUCUCCUCUGAAAGUGUUGUUUGAGAAAUCAAUAGUUGUGAAGAAAGUCAUGAUCUUCGCCAUUUCAAUUACAUUGCAUUUAAUUGCCAUUGCCAUAGUAUCCUGAUAGUAGCCCUCUCCCAUAUAUUUUUCAGUUCAUGUUCUUGUGAGUUUAUCAUAGCCGUCAAAUGUUCAAAAUAUUUUGUUGGCAAGAGACCGCUAAACCGAUUGUAGGAUAAGUCCAUGAUACACAAUUUUUGGAAUGAAAAGUUAGUUUUCGGAAUGCCUAUUUCACCAUAGAAUUUGUUAGACCUCAAGAUAAGAACCUGCAACUUCGAAAGAGAUUCUAGCCAAUUUGAGAAUGUGUCUUGAAUUUUGUUCUUUUCAAGGUCUAGAACUUCCAACUCUCUACAUGUGAGCAAAGUGUGCAGCAACGACCCUUCGAACUGAUUUCCAUUAAGAUUAAGAUUUCUCAAAAUGUUUCCCUUAGAAAAUGUCCAAGGAAUCACUCCAUGAAAUUUAUUAUUUUGCAGUCAAAGUGGUUCACCGACCACUACAUCGAUGAAAAAUCUCGCCAAAAUAUGCUCUUUGAUCAGUGAUUCACCGGCCACUACAUCCAGGAUCCCACCUAAAAACCAAUCAUCUGCUUGUUAUUGUUCCCUUUCUCUCUCUCUAAGACUAAAAGAGUGAGGAAAAGAAGCAGCUUUGGCAGCUAUUUUUGGGUAGAAACUAGACAUUUGUAGUGUGUGUGUGUGUAUAUGGACUUUACCGCUGUGGCCUUUACUGUAUGAUCUAUUAUUGUGAACUCAGUUUUGUUAUGCAGUUGCUUUGUUACUCAUUUGUCCGACGAUAAGAAUUUGUUUUGGAUUGUUGAGAUUUAUCAAAAUAGUAUGUUUAAUAUAAUUCUGAUAAUGUUUAUCAAAAUAUCUUAAUUAUAAAAAAUGAAGAAAAAAAUUGUUUUCAAGAAUUCCACCAAACAAGUUUUCAAAUUUUAAAUAUUCAAAAACAGUUUUCAAGUUGUAUACCAAACAACUUUUUGAAUCUUAAAAAAUGAAUUUGAGAACUCCUUGUUUUUUAAGAAAAAUAACAAUUUUUAAGUUCUCUACUUGGAUAGAAUACCAAACAAGCCCUUACUCACUCACUAUCUUCUUCAUAUUAAUAAAUUGACCACCAUGUUCUGUCAAUCUAUUUUCUUCAGGCCCGUUUGGUAUUUUAUCCAAGUAGGAAACUCAAAACCUUAGAUUAUUUUAAAAAACAAAGAGUUCUCAAAUUCAUUUUUUAAGAUUCAAAAACUCGUUUAGUAUGCAACUUGAAAACAGUUUUUAAAUUUUUAAAUUUAGAAACUUGUUCGGUUGAAUUCUUGAAAACAACUUCUUUUUUUUCUUUUUUUUUUAUAGCUAAGGUAUUGAUAAACAUUAUUGAAAUUAUACUAAACAUACUGAUUUUAAUAGUCCUGAUCUCUUAGACUACAGGGGUCCAAGAGAUUUGUGGUCACUUAUCGUUGAAUGUAAAUUCAACGGUUCACUCACUCUUGCACUCCUUUUAAGAAACUUUUUUGAACCAUUGAAUUAAUAUCCAAUAGUGGGUGACCACAAUCUCUUGGACCACAGAGAUCGGGACUGCUGAUUUUAAUACCAUACAUAAAUAAUGAUCGUCAAAUUCAAUUGAUCUUCAAGUCUUAAAUAAUACAUAUUAAAUUAAAAUAUUCUAUACUAAAUAAAUUCUAGACUAAUGAUAUUGCUCCGGCUAUUCAAUCUCUAGCAUCACUAAUUUCAUUAGCAUUGUCCUCACUCAUGCAAAUGGGUGUGUUCCCUGCUUGAUUUGCGCAAGAGCUUUCUUCAUCUACCACAUCAAGAUCAUGCAAAUUGUGCAAAAUUCCAUUAGGGCCCCAAUAAUGUCACUUCAGACACCAUCAUAUUUGUAUAUAACCAAAUUGCAAAAUUGGAAUGAGAAUAAAUCUUCACAAGUCUCCAACUAAAAUAGCAGAUAAAGAAUUCCAUGAUAUAGCUGAGAUACAAAAUUGCUACCACGCACAACACAAUCCAUGAAUAAAGAAUUCCAUGGUAAGGUAUGCACUGUAAUAUUUCCUUCUUAGACUCUGUCAAAUCUAACAGGCCUUCUUAGAACAUAAUCUACAUGGAACCCAAUUUGGGCAAGCUCAUGACAACUCUAUUCAAAGCUUGAUUUUUCAUAACAGUAGAACAACUUACUAUAACCUUCAAUAUGGUUCACUAGCCAUAUCCUUGACAAUACCAGGAAAAUCCAAACUAUGGCCACACAAAUAUAAAGAAACAAUAAAACUGGCUAUAUAUAACUUAGAGAGAGAGAGAGAGAGAGAGAGAGAGAGAGAGAGAGAGAGAGAGAGAGAUGUGGAUGAAGAGAGAGAUACCUCUGUAAUGCUCAACCAGUCCAAAACAAAACUCACAAAAUCCAUAACCAAAGGGCACCCUACGGCUAAACAUUGGCAUUUGAUACCUCUAUAAUGUGUCUAUGAAAUUGAUCAAAAUGAAAACUUGAGUGGAAAACUUCUUCUGUAACAAUUCCUACUAGUUUGAACAAAUGUCUAAGAAAAAACUUGUGUAUAAAAUACAUGAUUUUUACUGUCACAUACAUACUGAACAAGCUCUUAUCAAAACUUGUCAAGUUAAGUGAAACGAUCAAUCACAAUAAAUUGAGUUAAUUUUGACUGCAGAGCUCAUACUAACGGCAAGCUGAUGUGCAAAAUACUACAUAUUCAAGAAUUCUUUUUAAAUAGAAUAUAGAAGUUGAUUAACAUAUUAAGACUUCUUUUUUGGACCAAUACAUGAAAAAAAUUGCAGAGAAGCAUCAAAUGACCAAUUCAACAUAAGCAGGAUCUCAGAAAUUACAACCCAUAUGAAUAGCAUAACUGAGCAAAUAUCAUUCAGACUUCUGAGUGCUAGAGACUUCAAAUGAGAUAAUAAAAACAAAAAACAAAAACAACUGAAAAAAUUGAAACCAAUGAAUUCUAUAACCAGAAUAGGGAACACAAUGGACCCAUAAUGUCAAAAUCUAAAAGCAUUUCAUCACUUUCUAUGAAAAAAUAAUCAAUCAGGUUACACACAAGAAUUCAUAUAAAUAAAAUCAAAUUAGAUAUAAAUAAGCUAUAAAUCCAAUAAAAAAUAAACUCCAAUCUUCAGUUAUAAAGGACAAAAAGGGAACUAAAAAUUACCCGAUUGUAGAGAUCGGACAUUAGCAACUCCAGCUCACGACGAGCCAAUGGUGCGCGCCUGUUCGGUGGCGUGUGACGCCGAUAUUUCAACUGACAGAAUCGCAGAGACCAGAGGAGGCAGCGAGGGCGGUGCUCAGAUGCCCAGCCCUAAAAGUUACUGAUGAGAGAGAGGGACGAAGAGAGAGAUGGAGAGAGAGAGGGAGCAACAAAGCUUCAAGCUUCUGCUAUGGAGGCUUGAAGCUUGAGCUCAGAGCAAGCGUUGCUCGAGCGAUGAGACGAGUAGAAAAAAAAAUUCGAAAAAAACAGAAUUUUUUAUGUUUUCUAAUUUGUUGGUGUUUUUGAGUUUAUUUUGAGUUUGAGUUUUUAAUUUUAUAUGAUUAUAUUUGAAGGGAAAAAAAAAACCCAAAAUUCAAGUGUUAUAUCUCUGUUUAUUAAUUAAAUUAUUAAAGUUGAACCUUUCAUGCUCAUAUUUUUAGUUUCUUUAUUGAUAUUGCCUCUAUCUUGAUGUGGUGAUUGUUGAGAUUUUUAUUUUUUAUUUUUAAGAAAAUCUCGACGGAACGAGAAAAACUUUAUUGAUAAAAUGAAGAAUUACAACGCGAGGAACAAUAAGACUGACCCUGACACAAAAAAUCACAUAAUAAGGUGUUCUAAAUAAGAUCAUCAAACCAAAUAAAAAUAUCCACAUUAUGCAGACCGAAUCGAGCAAGUCACCAAUGUGCAACACCAUUUGCUUCCCAAUGAGUAAAUUGAAAAAGAGAUCCAGGAAUCUCAAAUAAAGUUGAGGAUUUUAUUGUUAUUAGUUGCUUUUAUUAUAAAAUUUAAAACUCUGGAAACCUUAAAAAGACAAAAAUAAAAAUAAAAAGAAGACAUUACUCUAAAAAGAUAUUUGGAUUAAUAUUUUCUUUAAAAAAAUCGAUGAUUAGUUUAUAAAAUAAAAUAAACAAACUACAAUUUUAGUGAUUAAUGUGUUCGUACAUGAGCACACUUUAGACUUUCACCUUGGGCCUUUGAGAGUUGAGAACCGGCCCUGCCUUUCAUAAUAAAAUUGAAUAUCCCUCAUGAAUUAAUAAAAAUCUUGUUUUAUUUUGUAAUUGUUAAUUAUGCUAUGUAAUUGCUAAUUUCUAAUGUUGGUGAUUGCUUAAUUUUAAGGCAUAAAAUAUAUUUUCAUUUUAAAUAAUUCCAAGCCAAUGAAAGAUGUCAUUUUUUUGUAAAACGACCUGUCGUUCUUUUCCCACCAGCUGCCGUCUCGUGGUGCUCUCAAGUUCUCAACCCACUCCAACCCCAAAAUUCUCAAGUCCAAUCGGAGGUCGCGCUAUGGCCAGCCUCUGUCUCCUUACGACCAAGAUGACGACGAAGAGGUUUCUCGUGCUAGUGAUGUUUCGGAUGACGAUUGGUUGCUCAAUGUGAGUUUCUGUUCUGGCUCUUGUGCUUGAGCUGCUCGACUUGGUGGUUGUCCUUUGGGAAAGUGUUUUUUCUUGCUUUUGAAAGCAGAUUUUUUUUUUUUAAUUUAAUUUAAUUUUUUAUAGUUAAAGUUCUACUUGGAUUUGAAGUACCUUUACUUUUGUGAAUGUAGUAGCAUUUGGUUUUUCAGUUUUUUAUUAAAAUUUUAACUUUAAUUUGAGGCAUGGAUAGUAACAAUGGUACAAUUAUGCUCACUGUGAGGUACCCAUGUUUUGAAAUACGGUAAUUUGUAGUUUUUCUUUGUGGAAUUCUUGAUUUGGUUGCUUAGGGGUUUGAGGUAAAUAUUUGUUUGUGGGUCUUUUUCAAUGUAAGAAGUGCAUGCCAGUUUCUUUCUGAUUUACAAAGCAACGUGCAAAGAAAGAUUAAGAGUUCAAGUUUUAUCCGUUUUCUUUUUGCAUUUCAUUAUUGAAAAUAUUGCAAAAUUGAUUCUUGGACUUGUGGUAAUUUAUUUUCAUGGAAAGAUUAGUUUGGUAUAAGUGUUUCUGUGACACAACUAUCUUCGGUUUCCUUUGUUUGAAACAUCAUCUGGCUUUUCUUGUGGGUUGCUUCUCCAGGAUGACUUUGCAGAAAUUUCAGAGUUUGAUGUUAAUAGAAAGAGGUCCAAAUCACACAAGGGAUUUGUGAAUGGUCAUUCGGAUGGCAGAAACAGUAAGCACACUCUAGAGAAAAGUAAUGCUGCAAACUACUACAAUAGUUCUAAUCAAACAAAUGGUGUCAGUUCCUUGGAUGUACCUCGUAAGGGAAAGGUAUCUUGUAGAGUGAUAUGACGAGCUGUCAAAUUCUGUCAUCAACUAUACUAUUUUUCCGGGAAGUGCUUAUUUAUUUUCUUUGAUGCAGCAGUCUACAAGGAAAGCUAUGGAGGAUAGAUUUCCUCGGCUAUCAGAAGAGGUUGAAUUGGAUGAGAAGUGGUUACCUCUUAUUGAUUACCUUAGCACAUUUGGGCUUAAGGAAUCACACUUUAUUCAAAUGUAUGAAAGGCAUAUGCCUUCUCUUCAAAUAAAUGUGUGCUCUGCAAAGGAAAGGUUGGAAUAUUUGUUGAGUGUUGGGGUCAAACAAAGAGAUGUAAGAAGAAUGCUUUUGAGGCAGCCACAAAUCCUCGAAUAUACAGUUGAGAACAAUUUGAAGUCCCAUGUUGCUUUCCUCAUGAGUUUGGGUAUUCCAAGUUCCAGAUUCGGGCAGAUUAUUGCUGCUGCUCCAUCCCUCUUCUCUUAUAGCAUUGAGAAUUCAUUGAAACCCACCGUGAGAUACUUAGUUGAGGAGGUCGGGAUUAAAGAAAAAGAUUUAGGUAAAGUUGUGCAGUUAAGCCCUCAAAUUCUAGUUCAGCGGAUUGAUAUAUCAUGGAAUACUCGUUUGAAUUUUCUUUCUGAGGAGAUAGGAGCACCCAGAGAUAGUAUUGUGAAGAUGGUUAAAAAACAUCCCCAGUUCCUCCACUUUAGCAUCGAUGAUGGUCUGCUCCCCAGGAUCAAUUUCCUUAGGAGUAUUGGGAUGUGUAAUGCUGACAUCUUGAAAGUCUUAACUAGUCUGACACAGGUCUGCUUACUUUCUUUUAUGCCCAUCAGAGUACUUUUACAUUGUUUCUAAUUGCUUGGGAUUUAUUUGUACUUGUGUCACAAGAAAUAGUUUUUCUUUCCAUAUGCAUGUAUGUUAGUAUGAGUUUCUACUUCUUUUACUGAAAUAUCAUGUUCUUAAGAAGAAGAAAAAUAGCUUUCUUGCUGCUUCCCACUUAACAAGUUAAUUUUCUGAAUCUUUGACCAUUUUAAAGUUCCCUUUUGUACAUUUCUGACAUGUAGCCUUGCAGGGACUAUCCCUAUCACUGGAGGAGAAUUUGAAACCCAGGUACAAGUACUUGGUCAAUGAACUUCGUAAUGAAGUGCAUUCCUUGACCAAAUAUCCUAUGUACCUAAGCUUGUCUUUAGACCAGAGAAUUCGCCCCCGACAUAGGAUAUAUAAGAUUUUUCCACCGAAGCUGUCCUACAGUGCCAGUCAAAAAGUUGUGAGAAAGAUCCAAAAACGUCAAUGAAUCUUUCCCCAAAUCCAAUAACCAUUUGGGAAUGUAGGCUUGGAUUCUGUUGUGGGAAAGGUAUAACAUAUCCAACUUUUGUGAGGCUCUGAGAAAGUAUGGGAACUCACUUAUGUUACAAGACGACAAAUCUAGACUCGAAAGUUGAGGCCAGGUGUUGUUACUCAAAUGGUUGAAGCUCAAGGAUAGAUGAUUAAAGGAAAGAUUAAGCUCACUAAGACUUUGGAGUUUGGAAAACUUUUCAAACUCCACAGUGCCACUCAAGUGGUUGGAUGAUAGAUCAAGCCCCGUAACCUUCUCAAGUUCAAAGAUUGAUCUUGGAAUCAGGCCAUCCAGCUUGUUAUCACUUAAAAAAAGGUAUUCCAAAGAACGAGAUUGGAACUCAAUGAUAUUACCACUGAGUUGGUUGCUUCCGAGGUCUAACCACUCCAAUGAUGGCAAACUAACUAACCAAGAUGGUAUUGUUCCGUUGAGUUGGUUCCCAUCUAAAAAGAGGGCGGUUAAGUGUCGUGGAAUAGGACCCACCAGUUGUUGUUUUGAAAAAUCAUAUAAAGAAGAGUUGCUAUCAACUUCUGGAAACUGACCGACAUAAUUGUUGAAACUAAGAUCCAACCAAGUGAGUGUCUCAAGAUUUAAGAAUGACCAUGGGAUUUGGCCACCAAAACUGUUAUACGAGAGGUCCCUUUUGUACAUUUCUGACAUGUAGCCUUUCAGGUACUAUCCCUAUCACUGGAGGAGAAUUUGAAACCCAAGUACAAGUACUUGGUCAAUGAACUUCAUAAUGAAGUGCAUUCCUUGACCAAAUAUCCUAUGUACCUAAGCUUGUCUAUAGACCAAAGAAUUCGCCCCCGACAUAGGUUCUUGCUUUCUCUGAAGAAAGCUCCUAAAAGGCCAUUUCCUUUAAGUUCACUGGUCCCCACUGAUGAAUGCUUCUGCCAGCAGUGGGCUGGAACUAGCUUAGAUAAAUAUAUAGAUUUCCGGCAGAGACUACUGCUCAAGGAGUUUGCCAAAAAAUAUGAAAGAAAGGGAUAGCAUCUUCUCCGAAAGGAUGCCCGAGGUUACUGACCCAAGUGUUUGAUGAACAGAGCAGCCUCCCUUUGCAACUUUGUCUGUGAAUGAAUUUCAAUGUAUGCCACUGUUAACAAUAAUUUCCAUGAAGUUCAGAGUUUCUGGUUAUCAUAAACCUGGAGUAAGCAAGUUUCCAGGUUGUUGACAGUUUCCCGUUGGGAUGGUUAGUUUGUUUCUCAUGUGGAGUAUAUAGGUGGUACCUCACUCCACUCCAAUGCUAUUAGUUGUUCAUACAGGAGCAGCUCCAGUUUUGUAUACAACGUUACAUUCUCAGGUCAAGGCAUCUAGAUGAGUAUUAUUUUCGAGGUUCUAACUGCUUGUGACAGAAAAGACAAUAGACGACAGUCUAUGCUUUAAGGUGAUUUAUUUUUUAAUUGAACAAGAAAGGGUGGUUUCCAGGAUAAUGAAUCUACCUUUUGAAUGGUCGCAUGUUUGAUUAUUUGUGCUGUAUUCCUUUGUGCUAGUAGACAAGUACAACGUAAUACAUCUCUUCCUUACUGCCAUUGGAUAGCCUAAUUACAUUGUUUGAUAUGAUUUUGUACUUUCUAAUGGUUAAUUAACUCAUUGCAGGUUAGUAGUGUAUUUGCAUCUUCUCAACUCUCAAGUGGACAAAGGAGAAGCUUUACUAACUGCGGUUGAUUUAAAACAGGAGGAUUCGUUCUUCUACUGUAUGCAUUGUAAGUCGGAUGAGUUUUUGCUACUUUUUCAUCCCGAAAAUAUACCCAGAGAAAAGCAAGAAAGCAGCCAAAAUUGCAUUGGAAUUUUACAGAGAAAAUUUGUCAACUCUGUAGUUUGGAGAUUCAACCCAACAAGUAAAGGUCAUCAUCAUAUUCGAUCAAAUUGGAUUUAAUUGGUUAAUUUGAGUGGAUUGGAUUGAGUUUUAAACACGAACUAGAUUGGAUUGAUGUCAAACAUAUAACUAUAGAAACUCAACUUUAACACACUAAUAUAUAUGUAACAAUAGUGUUGUAUGAAGAAAAUUACUUCUCUUAUUUCCACCAUAACGUGAUUAAUAAGCAGCUCGAGUUAGUAUUUAUCUCGUGAUGAUACAUCUAACUUAAUAAACAUGAUUAACAUUGAUGAGUAUUUCAUAACUAUCACGAUACAUCCGCGUAACCUAAUUGACUUGUGAUUGGUUUGUAGCUUAAGUUGUUAAGAGCAUUUAUCCUUGUAUUUGAUGUCCUAGAUUCGAUUCCUGCCUCCUCCAAUAUGUUUGUAUAAUAUAUAUUGUAAUUUUUAUUUUUUUUAAAUAUGGUUUGGCGCAUCAACGAUUGAAUUUAGACACCAACAAUAGACCCUUGAACCCAACAAGUGCAACGAUUUAGACAAUAUGACCACUUCCCUCUGGCAUUAAUCUGCAAGUUUAAACUAUGCUAGAUUCCGUUGACAAACAUUAUGACCAAUUCCCUCCUGAUGCUGGUCAACGGUGUGCCUAUGUUGCGAAACCACUUGCCUGUGGCAAGUCCUCCAAAAACAAGUGAUUGGCCAAGUUGAUCCAGUCUCUGGCUAGAAGCUUGCACGUUAUCCUUUCAGGGUCGGUUUGCUUCAAUACAAGAUUAUCAUGAAAACCCAAUCAUUUAUUUAUUUAAUAAUUGAAUUUGGUGGUGUCAAUUUUCAGAAAGUUGUUCAAGGAAUGAGACAGUGAAUGAGACAAACUUCGAUACUGCAUGCAGUUUGCGUUAGUAGCAUUUCUCUUAAAGCUAAGAGAAAUGCUAGUAACAUUCUUUCUAACUUUCUCUUUUGGACUUUUUUUUUUUUUUGCUUAACAUGUGUCAUUCUUCUUACACUUAAAAUAAUGUCAUUAAUACAAAGGACCCACUAGUGUAGUGGUUUGGAGUAUUUACUCCCUCAGGCAAGGUCCUGGGUUCGAGUCCUAGCAUCCGUGUUGUGUGUGUGAGUUUAAUAUGAUAUCGCCCCUUUCAAUAGGAAAGGACCUCAAAAAAAAAAAAUAAUAAUGUCAUUAAUAUAUUAUACAAGUUAACUUUGGUUUGCCAACUUUACUCUUAUUAAAUGUAUUCAAUUUAUUCAAAAAACUUUCACAACUUUCUUACCAUUAUUUUUUUUUAACGUCAAUUAUUUUUUUCAAAAAAAUAUCUAAUUUUUUCAAAAAAGAGGAAAUAUCUGUUUUUUUUUUUAAUAAUAAAAAUAUCUAAACCCUUUGUGUUUAAAAAUAAAAAUUUAAAAAAAAAAACUAGACAUUUCCUCUUAAAAGCAUAUAUUUUCUUUAAAAAAAUAAUUGACGUUAGAAAAAAAUUAAUAAGAUGGUAAGAAAGUUCAAAAAAAAAUUUGGAUAAAUUGAAUACAUUUAAUAAGGGUAAACUUGGAAAGCAAAAGUUAGCUUGUAUAAUAUAUUAAUGACAUUGUUUUAAGUGUAAGGAGAAUGACACAUGUCAAGCAAAGAAGAGAGAAGGUCCAAAGGAGAAGGUUAGAGAGAAGGUUGCUAGCAUUCCCCUAUAGCUAAUGGCUCCAACUAUAUUAGCCUAGUUAUGGAGGUCGGUUUGUCUUUCUGUACAAAUAAUACAUGUUUUGAGAAUUUUGAUAGUGUAGGCGUAGAGCCUUUUUCUUAUCCGGAUGUCGCAAUAUCCUUAAAAUAUAUUCUAUCUACACAAGUUCAAUAUAUAAAAAAAUUUAUAAAAACUUACAUUUUCUUCGAAGUGUUUAGAAAACUAAAUGGGGAGGUGAUAAUUGAUUCUUUUUCUCCGUAACAUAUUUCACGGAUUUAUUACUGAGAUUUGUUUUGAGUAAAUUAAAGACUUCAAUUAUAUGAAAGUAACAAGUUGAGGACUUAUGGUCAAUUUUUUUAAAGUUCGUCCAAUUUGCUAGCAAAACAUGUCACCCACACAAUUACUUGUUGUGGAUUAGUUUUUGUAUUUUUCCUUUUAAAACUUUUGAACUGUUCAAAAAUGUCACAUGUUCUUAUAAAAAGAAUAUACAUGAAAAAUUUUGAAUAGAAGUAUCACCAGCUGACGUGAUAAUACCGUACUAUUUAAUAAUUUUUACACAUUCUCUCUCUCCCCAUUCAUUUAAUGCAAAUGUUUAUAUAACAAAAAUUCCAAAAGGUAAUACUUGAGACGUUGAUAUUUAUAACAAGCUUAGCUGUCCUGCAUUUAAAAUUUCCACUGUGCUAGGAUGGCAAGUACUUGAGCUUGUUUCCAACAAAAUCAGCAAGCAUCUUUUGACAUCGAGGGUAAAGCAUCUAUAUUGUCACAUGGGUGUAGGUCCCAGUGUUAGCUAGCUAGGAAAUUAUUGUAACUAGUUACCAUUUUUUAGCAUGGCAAGUACGCAAUGAGUUUGUUUCUUGGAAAAUCAGCAAGCAAGCAAGCAGCUUUUGGAAAAUUUUGCAACCAAGGCUUUGAUUUGAUAUUUGGUCUAUGGUCUUGGUAGGUAUAAUUUCUGCGAUAUCAAAUGGUUUUCACGUUUUGCCUCCAAUUCCUACUAGUCAAAACUUGUUCAAAUAUCCAAAGGGCAUGUCACGUACAUUCCUCAAUCAGAAUUGAUUAAUUAAUUGUCAAUUGCAUGGUCAUAGUCAAUUUUUAAGUUGAUUUGUAUUGUACCCUCAGUUUUGUGGGCAAAUACUACUCAAUUAUCCAUGCUAUUUAGUGAUUUAAUUUUUUUCAUUUCCUCGUAUUUUUUGAAAUGAGAAGAAUUAUAGGAGUAUAUAACAUAGUUGAGCCAAAUUACGUGUAUUGAUUGAAUGGAUUUGUCAAUUGUGUUUGACAAAUUACAAGAUGCACGAGCAAUUAUUCUAUUUUAACAAAAGUAAAGAGGAUCCUCUUUUCAAACUCAUGCAUAUUUAUUGGCGCUUUGACAUAAUAAAAUAUUCAUAAAAAAUGAAAUACAAUAUGAAAAUACAUAAACUUUUGGAAUGGUUUCUUCAAGCACGUCGUUGUGUGAUUUUCACAGUUCUACGACAUUGCUUUCUUCCUACCACUUUAACAAGCCAAUCUGGUGUUCCAUUAGAGAGUACAAGAUAUCCCACAGAUAUUCCAAUUACCACCCUAGAUGCAUACCCCAUCAACACUAGCUUCCAAUCAAAACCAUUCUCAUGCUCCAAAUCAACCUCUUGUUGGAAUGACGAUGGCGGUGAUUGAUGUGGUGCACUGCAUGUUUUAGAAAGUGGCAAUCCACACAAUCCUGUAUUUCCACUAUAUGAAUCAUUUUCAAAUGUAUCAAAUUGCUUGCCAUGAGGUAUGGGCCCCACAAGUUGAUUUUUUGAAACAUUGAACUUCGAUAGUGACGUCAAAUUUGCCAGUUGCUCCGAAAUUUCACCAACAAGUUUGUUUGAAGACAGAUCUAACCAUUCAAGAUUGCGCAUUUCUCCAAAUGAUGGUGGAAUUGUACCUGUAAGCUCAUUAUGAGAAAAGUUAAGCCCCUUCAAUGAUUUAAGCUUACUAAUUACACUUGAAAUCUCUCCUCUGAAAGUGUUGUUUGAGAAAUCAAUAAUUGUGAAGAACGUCAGGAUCUUCUCCAUUUCAAUUUCGAAGCCUUUAAUUGUCACUACCACAGUAUCCUGAUAGUAACCCUCUCCCAUAUAUUUCAGUCCAUGUUCUUGCGAGUUUAUCACAGCCGUCAAGUGUUCAAAAUAUUUUGUUGGCAAGAGACCGCUAAACCGAUUGUUGGAGAGGUCUAUGAUAUGCAAUUUUUGGAAUGGAAACUUAGUUUUUGGAAUGCAUAUUUCACCAUAGAAUUUGUUAGACCUCAAGAUAAGAACCUGCAACUUCGGAAGAGAUUCUAGCCAAUUUGGGAAUGUGUCUUGAAUUUUGUUGUUUGCAAGGUCUAGAACUUCUAACUCUCUACAUGUGAGCAAAGUUGGCGGCAACGACCCUUCCAACUGAUUUUUAUUAAGAUCAAGAUUUCUCAAAACGUUUCCCUCAGAAAAUGUGUCUGGAAUCAUGCCAUAAAAUUUAUUAUUCCGUAGAUUCAAAACAGAGAGUCUCUGACUGAAAUUCCCUAUGCAUUGAUGAAUUUUGCCACUCAAUUUAUUAUUAGACAAAUCAAGGAUUUGAAGGCUACUCAGGCUGCAGAUCGUUGGAGGUAUCUCUCCAGUGAAUUGAUUGUUUGAUAUGAAAAAGUAAUAUGUGGAAGGUGAUGGAAUUGGAAGCUCUCCUUGGAGAGAAUUGUUGCGAAGGUCAAGAUACUGGAGAUUUUUCCACCGAAGCGGUCCUACAGUGCCAGUCAAAGAGUUGUGAGAAAGAUCCAAAUAACUCAAUGAAUCUUUCCACAAAUCCAAUAACCAUUUGGGAAUGUUGGCUUGGAUUCGGUUGUGGGAAAGGGAUAACGUGUCCAACUUUGGUGCGGCCCUUAGAAAGUAUGGGAACUCACUUAUGUUGCAAGACGACAAAUCUAGUAACUCAAGUUGAGGCAAGGUGUUGUUUCUCAAAUGGUUGAAGCUCAAGGAUAAAUGAUUAAAGGAAAGAUUAAGAAUUUGGAGUUUGGAAAACUUUUCAAACUCCACAGUGCCACUCAAGUUAUUGGAUGAUAGAUCAAGCCAUCUAAGGUUCUCAAGUUCAAAGAUUGAUCUUGGAAUCAGGCCAUCCAGCUUGUUAUCAUUUAAAAGAAGCCCUGACAAAGAACGAGAUUGGAACUCAAUGAUAUUACCGCUGAGUUGGUUACUUCUAAGGUUUAACCACUCCAAUGAUGGCAAACUACCUAACCAAGAUGGUAUUGUUCCGUUGAGUUGGUUCUCAUAUAAAUAGAGCUCGGUUAAGUGUCGAGGAAUAGGACCCACCAGUUGUUGUUUUGAAAAAUCAUAUAAAGAAGAGUUCGAUGUCGAGUUGCUAUACACUUCUGGAAACUGACCGACAUAGUUAUUGCCACCGAGAUUUAAGGAAACAAGGCUCUCAAGGUUUAAAAAGAACGACCAUGGGAUUUGGCCACCAAAACUGUUAGACGAGAGGUCCAACCGCAUGAUUUGUGUGAGGUUACCAAGAAAUGCAAGAUAUGAUCCUACAAAACUGCAAUUGCUGAGAGACAAAUCUCUCAAAGACUUGAAAUUUCUUGUCAGAUGAUGCCAAUCUACUGAGAUUCUUGUACGAGAGAGAUCCAGCAUCUCAAGGGGACUGCUCCAGUUAGACUCGGGGAAAUAACCUGUGAGGUUAUAGUUGUGGCCUAAAUCUAGGAGUCGAAGAUUUGGUCGUUGGAAAAUGCUUUCUGGGAAUUUUCCUUGCAAGUUGCACCAGGGAAGUUCAAGAAUUUCCAAAGAAGAAGACAGAUUUUUGAAAGAAUCAGGUAUAACUGAUGACAUAUCAACAGAGGCCAAAUUAAGCUCCCGAAGAUUGGUCAGGUUUUGAACAAUUCUGUUAAAGCUAAGAGUAUCAACAUGUGUCACAACAAGAUAUGAAGAUUGCGAGAGAUUGAGUGAAACCAAGGUGGAAAGGUGGGAAAUUUCGGAAGGUAUUGGGCCACUGAAAUUGGAGUAAGAGAGGUCAAGGUGAGUCAUACUUACAAAGCCACCAAAUUUGGACGAAAUUGGGGAACCUCUGAAAUCAUUAGAAGAGAGGUCUAGCCUCUUGAGAUGGCCGAGAGAGAAUAAGCUGCUAUUGGAAUGGAUAUUGCCUUGAAGCCCACUGAAAUGAAGGUUGAGACUGAUCACACGACUAGUCAUCUUUUCACAAGUGACUCCACUCCAUGUGCAACAAUCCUUGCCUUUCUGCCAAGAAAUUGUACUAUUAGAAUAAAGAGUUGUUCCAUUAUAUAAUUCACGUUUAGAAGAGGUAUCAAUAGAAAAGGAGUUUUUGAAUUGAAGCAAAGCGGAGCUGUCUUCAGGAUGGCAUAAAUGCCCUGAAGAAAGAGAAGAGGAAGAGUUAGCUGAUGAACAAGUAGAGUUGAAUUGACAAGUAGUAGAGAGCAGGAAGAGGAGGCAGAACCAUGACAACCAACCCAUCUUUCUUUAAAAAUCUAAAGUAUAUAGUUAUUGUGAGCAAUUCUAUACUGGAUAUGUUGAUAUUUAUAACAAGCUUAAUGAAUAGUAAUUUAUCAUCUUUAAAGAUAAUCAAGUAUCAUUGUGCCCAUUGUAACGAUUGGGUGUCCUCUUCACAUAGUAGGUCCCAAUUUGAAGUGCUGAUUUCAAGCGUUGAUUUGAUAUUUG
RNAcentral lists this long non-coding RNA (35031 nucleotides) under Prunus persica (peach). RNAcentral's name for it is "long non-coding RNA (PPER_LNC004329)". Lineage: Eukaryota; Viridiplantae; Streptophyta; Magnoliopsida; Rosales; Rosaceae. The record is from RNAcentral.